UGGAAGUAGGGAAGCCACAUCUUUGUGUGU
This 30-nucleotide non-coding RNA is filed under the name Mus musculus (house mouse). Lineage: Eukaryota; Metazoa; Chordata; Mammalia; Rodentia; Muridae. The record is from RNAcentral.